GACAUUUUCAUUUCCAAAAUUCGGAGGGAGGAGCAAAAUCUACUAGCAGUUCCUAUAGUGUGGGUAUGUGAAAAAGUCAUAUUUGUUUAGCAUCAAUCUGAGUGGGUGAGAACCGUUGUGGAAAGGCUCUCCUGCCCUUCUGCUCUGAGCUCUGUGUUUCCUUCUGCUGCCCUUUACUUGCCCUCUCAGGGCCCUUCCCCCUGUCCCCCACAUUAGUUCUUCUUCCUUCAUAGAAGCUCAGAAGGAGGAAGAACAGUACCAGGGCCCUGCCCCUCCUACCAUCUCCCUGGGGGCCAGGUGGAGGGUUGACAGCUCCCUGUGUCGUCUCAUUUUGAGUAACAAGAGAGGACCAGCAUGGCCCCAGAAAUCCUAUUGCUGCUGCUGCUGUCACUAGGAAACUCAGGCAAGCCAGGGAGGACUUGGGCUGAGCUCCAGUACCAGGAGUUGAGACCGAGGUCUCCAGACUACAGGAGACCAGAACAGGCUGAGGAAGAGUACAGACGACUGGAAGGGGAGACGUUCAGUGUGAACUGCUCCUACGAGUCCCAGGAGCAUGAACAUAGAUGGAUGUCUUGGUGUAAAAAGCAAGAGAAUGGAGACGAGUGUGGCAUACCACGCUUAGAAACAAGCUCCAACUUUUCCGUGGCAGGCAAUGAAUAUUUGUCCGCUUAUGAUAAUAAUAGUGGCAUUAUCACCAUCACUAUCACAAAGUUCAGUCUCAGAGUAAAGGAUUCAGGUGACUAUGAGUGUGUGAUGCCUGAAGAACCUGAUAAGAGGAAAGAAGUCUUCAGGAGAUUCCACCUAGUGGUGUCCCCAGGCAUCAUUUGUACCAGGAGGAUCUACCAGAAAGCCGGGAAAGGUGAGAAAUGGGGUAUCUUAACCCUUUUAUACAUUCCAUCUCUGCCCCCAAUCUCCCUGAUCUCAUACCUCUCUAAUAUUGUGAUCUCAGGUCAGCUAAUGAGAGUUCAGGAU
Molecule: long non-coding RNA, 972 nt
Filed under: Vombatus ursinus (common wombat)
Lineage: Eukaryota; Metazoa; Chordata; Mammalia; Diprotodontia; Vombatidae
Description: lncRNA (ENSVURG00010021636.1)
Source: RNAcentral